This 1688-nucleotide unclassified non-coding RNA is filed under the name uncultured fungus. Its description in RNAcentral is "sequence contains 18S rRNA gene, ITS1, 5.8S rRNA gene, ITS2, 28S rRNA gene". The stretch from base 634 to 1688 matches the Rfam family "Eukaryotic large subunit ribosomal RNA", at positions 1 to 961 of the family's 3401-position model. Lineage: Eukaryota; Fungi. The record is from RNAcentral.
GGAUGGAUCAUUACCGGAUGGCGCGUCAGCGCCGCAUCCUCCAAGUAGUGUGCACUGUUGGUGGUGGUGGUGGAAAAGUUCUGCUUCCCCACCACUCCUACCCAACCAACCCUGUCGUACACGUAACACCGCUCUCAAGGUGGUGCCUCUCAAUUAUACACACUGUGACUGGCGGCCGUCAGGCAGCCUCGAACAGAAGCAACGACAACUUUUAGCAACGGAUCUCUUGGCUCUCGCAACGAUGAAGAACGCAGCAAAAUGCGAAACGUAGUGUGACUCGCAGGCACCGUGAAUCAUUGAAUCUUUGAACGCACAUUGCACUGUCCGCAAGGGCAGUAUACGUGUUUGAGCAUCAGAAACACCGAUCCGUGCGGGUGGGGGCGUCGUUUGUCUAAUCUUUGACAGCAGCAGCAAUGCUGUCUGUUGGAGGUGUGGGCUUCGGCGUGCCGCGUACGCACGGGACUUGGGCGUCCGCUGUGUAAAAGCAGCGCCGCCCGAAAUGCAUCACGGAACGCACCGGCCGACCGCGGCAGAGUCAACGGCUCACUGAGCCUGCUCGCUGCCGCACGACCAGGAUGCGUACCGCCAUACGACACUCGGUUGCAGGCGCGCAGAGCGCGUCGCAUCGGACAUUGAUCUCAAAUCAGGUAGGACGACCCGCUGAACUUAAGCAUAUUACUAAGCGGAGGAAAAGAAACUAACCAGGAUUCCCCCAGUAACGGCGAGUGAAGCGGGAGGAGCCCAAAUUUAAAAUCUCGACAGAGAAUUGUAGUUUGAGGAAGCGCGUUCGCGGAGGCGCGGGCACAAGUCCCCUGGAACGGGGCGUCAAAGAGGGUGAGAAUCCCGUCUCUGGCCCGGCACGCCGCCGCAUGUGAUGCGCUGUCAAAGAGUCGGGUUGUUUGGGAAUGCAGCCCAAAGAGGGUGGUAUAUUCCAUCGAAGGCUAAAUACGGGCGAGAGACCGAUAGCGAACAAGUACCGUGAGGGAAAGAUGAAAAGCACUUUGAAAAGAGAGUUAAAGAGUACGUGAAAUUGCUAAAAGGGAAACGCUUGAAGUCAGUGUUGGGCGGCGCGGUCAGCCGGGCGGCACUUUACGGUGUCGGUCGGUGCACUCCGCGACGACCAGGUCAGCAUGGGCUCAGCGUCCCGGGCAGAGCGGUGCGCGAAGGUGGCUCGGCUUCGGCGGAGCGUUACAGCGCGCACUGGUGGCCGGGACAGGGCCGAGGACGGCAGCGCACGCCUUGUGGCUGGCAGCCUGCGUGCUGCGUGGCGUUGACGAGCAGACUUUGCAUGCAAAGACUGUUUGGCGACGACGCGCACUGCGCACGGUUAGCACAGGUGCGCUCAGGAUGCUGACGAAAUGGCUUCAAACGACCCGUCUUGAAACACGGACCAAGGAGUCUAACACAUGUGCGAGUGUUUGGGUGGCAAGCCCGAGCGCGGAAUGAAGGUGACGCGGUGGGACUCUCAUCAGUAGUGAGACGCACCAUCGACCGGUCCAGACUCUCGAGGAUGGAUCCGAGUAAGAGCACAGGUGCUGGGACCCGAAAGAUGGUGAACUAUGCCUGAAUAGGGCGAAGCCAGAGGAAACUCUGGUGGAGGCUCGUAGCGGUACUGACGUGCAAAUCGUUCGUCAAAUUUGGGUAUAGGGGCGAAAGACUAAUCGAACCAUCUAGUAGCUGGUUCCCUC